UCUCUGGCCCACUAUUAGAAAUGCAAAGAACAAGCAUGUUUUCAAAUAGCACUCUGUGCUGCCAAUGAUGUAUCAACACCCUAUGCCAUUACUCUUCUCUAAAUGUGAUAAUAAUGUGAUCUGUUAACAUAAAAAAGUUUGAUGCCACAAAAGCAGCUGGAAAUGGACAACUGAAAUAUGCAUAUAUCUAACUCAUAUCAUCAAAUGCACAGUUUGAUGUAUGUUGUUAAAAGCUUUUCAUAUCUUUCUGUUCCUCUCAAGCAAAAACAGCUCCCUUUGAAUGUAAAUCAAGAAGUUUCAGAGUACUCAUUUCCCAGUGAUGGGUUCUGGGGAGAUGGCUUCCUCAUUUCAGAU
This is a non-coding RNA of Podarcis lilfordi (Lilford's wall lizard), 354 nucleotides long. The record is from the annotation of a GenBank genome assembly. Lineage: Eukaryota; Metazoa; Chordata; Lepidosauria; Squamata; Lacertidae.